GUGCUCGCUUCGGCAGCACAUAUACUAAAAUUGGAACGAUACAGAGAAGAUUAGCAUGGCCCCUUCACAAGGAUGACACGCAAAAUAGGUAUCUUUAUCCAUUCAAU
This is a small nuclear RNA of Neogale vison (American mink), 107 nucleotides long. The record is from Ensembl. Lineage: Eukaryota; Metazoa; Chordata; Mammalia; Carnivora; Mustelidae.